Haplochromis burtoni (Burton's mouthbrooder) is the source of this 530-nucleotide long non-coding RNA. RefSeq lists it as uncharacterized. The record is from RefSeq and is a predicted model, not a curated record. NCBI's taxonomy places the organism in Eukaryota, Metazoa, Chordata, Actinopteri, Cichliformes, Cichlidae. The transcript is spliced from 3 exons.
CUGGAGGUCAGAAAAUAGGAGCUGGAACAUCAGAGCACACGAUCAGUAUUUCAGAAGGAGGCAUCUAUUACUGCAGAGGAGGGAGAGGAGAUCCAGUUUUCUCCACAGAGGACAGCGUUCCAGUUAAAAUUAAGAAACGGGUCCUGUAUGUUGUAAAGUUACAACACCGUUGGCCUCAGAUGUUCAUUGGUGAGACAAUCAUCCUUCAAUGUGAGAUCCAAGGAGGGGAAGACAAGGAGAUGACAUAUGAAUGGAAAUCACCAAACCCAAACAUCCCUGAAACAUCCAGUGAAUACAGGAUCAGCAGAUUAUCAGUGUCCCACAGUGGAGACUACAAAUGUCGGGGUAGCAGUGACUAUCUCUUAGCAAAAUGGAGUGACCCCUUCACACUGAUUGUCUUGUCAAGUAAACCCAGAGCCACACUGACACCACAAAGUUCAAGCCUACCAGCAGGGGGCAGUGUGACACUGAGCUGCUCUGUGGAGGGCUCUGCUGGCUGGAAGUUUGACUGGUUCAGACGUGAUUCAGUC